RNAcentral lists this ribosomal RNA (506 nucleotides) under uncultured bacterium. RNAcentral describes it as "partial 16S ribosomal RNA". It matches the Rfam family "Bacterial small subunit ribosomal RNA", at positions 30 to 523 of the family's 1533-position model. The record is from RNAcentral.
AUUGAACGCUGGCGGCAGGCCUAACACAUGCAAGUCGAGCGGCAGCGGAAAGUAGCUUGCUACUUUGCCGGCGAGCGGCGGACGGGUGAGUAAUGUCUGGGAAACUGCCUGAUGGAGGGGGAUAACUACUGGAAACGGUAGCUAAUACCGCAUAACGUCGCAAGACCAAAGAGGGGGACCUUCGGGCCUCUUGCCAUCAGAUGUGCCCAGAUGGGAUUAGCUAGUAGGUGGGGUAAUGGCUCACCUAGGCGACGAUCCCUAGCUGUUCUGAGAGGAUGACCAGCCACACUGGAACUGAGACACGGUCCAGACUCCUACGGGAGGCAGCAGUGGGGAAUAUUGCACAAUGGGCGCAAGCCUGAUGCAGCCAUGCCGCGUGUAUGAAGAAGGCCUUCGGGUUGUAAAGUACUUUCAGCGGGGAGGAAGGUGUUGAGGUUAAUAACCUCAGCAAUUGACGUUACCCGCAGAAGAAGCACCGGCUAACUCCGUGCCAGCAGCCGCCGUAA